RNAcentral lists this ribosomal RNA (717 nucleotides) under uncultured bacterium. RNAcentral describes it as "bacterial SSU rRNA". It matches the Rfam family "Bacterial small subunit ribosomal RNA", at positions 1 to 716 of the family's 1533-position model. The record is from RNAcentral.
CCCUUAGAGUUUGAUCCUGGCUCAGAACGAACGCUGGCGGCGUGCUUAACACAUGCAAGUCGAAUGCGAAAGCCCUUCGGGGUGAGUAAAGUGGCGCACGGGUGAGUAACGCGUAGGAACGUACCUAUGGGAGGGGGAUAACCACGGGAAACCGUGGCUAAUACCGCAUGAUAUCGUAAGAUCAAAGGAGGCCUAUCCUUGGAAGCUUCCGCCCACAGAUCGGCCUACGUCCUAUUAGCUAGUUGGUAGGGUAAAGGCCUACCAAGGCGAUGAUGGGUAACUGGUCUGAGAGGAUGAUCAGUCACACUGGAACUGAGACACGGUCCAGACUCCUACGGGAGGCAGCAGUGGGGAAUCUUGCACAAUGGGCGCAAGCCUGAUGCAGCAACGCCGCGUGGGUGAAGAAGGUCUUCGGAUUGUAAAGCCCUUUCGGCCGGGAAGAAGGGUCCCAAGGUGAAUAAUCUUGGGGUCUGACGGUACCGGAAGAAGAAGCACCGGCUAAUUCCGUGCCAGCAGCCGCGGUAAUACGGAAGGUGCAAGCGUUGUUCGGAAUGACUGGGCGUAAAGCGCACGUAGGCGGGUUUGCAAGUCGGAUGUGAAAGCCCCGGGCUUAACCUGGGAAUGGCACCCGAAACUGCGAAUCUUGAAUGCUUGAGAGGUUGGUGGAAUUCCUGGUGUAGGAGUGAAAUCCGUAGAUAUCAGAGGAACACCGGAGGC